GGUUAAGCGACUAAGCGUACACGGUGGAUGCCCUGGUGAAUACAUAGGUUAACGAGGCGAACCGGGGGAACUGAAACAUCUAAGUACCCCGAGGAAAAGAAAUCAACCGAGAUUCCCCCAGUAGCGGCGAGCGAACGGGGAGCAGCCCGGAGUCUGAAUCAGCUUGUGUGUUAGUGGAACGGUCUGGAAAGUCCGACGGUACAGGGUGAUAGUCCCGUACACGAAAAUGCACAGGCUGUGAACUCGAAGAGUAGGGCGGGA
RNAcentral lists this ribosomal RNA (261 nucleotides) under Enterobacter kobei. Its description in RNAcentral is "partial 23S ribosomal RNA". It matches the Rfam family "Bacterial large subunit ribosomal RNA", at positions 1 to 422 of the family's 2925-position model. Lineage: Bacteria; Pseudomonadati; Pseudomonadota; Gammaproteobacteria; Enterobacterales; Enterobacteriaceae. The record is from RNAcentral.